CGAAAGGUGGUUCCCAUUACUCUACUGGGUUUUGCGCCACAUAGUAUUGUCCUUCCUUCUCUGCUCAUGGUCCUCUCUUUCCUCCCUUCUUGGUGCUCUCGGUCCCCUUUCUGGCUGGCUAUUUCUUGUCGGUGGUUCUGCUAUUUCAUUCCUUUCUUCCCUUUUGUUGCACAUGCUGUAUUUCCAUGCCAUCGAGGGUUCCCGAUCCAGUCUAUUGUUCGCCAGGCUUUCGGUUCGCGGUCUGCUUGUUGUCUCGGGGGACUCCGCUGUUGUUGGCUGGACAUUUCUCGCUGCAGGUUUUAUACACUUCGCCUCGUCCCAUUUUAUUGUGACAUCUUUGUCAUAUGCUUCCUGUGCUGGGGCAGUGUUGCUCUCGAAAUAUCA
RNAcentral lists this long non-coding RNA (384 nucleotides) under Androctonus crassicauda. Lineage: Eukaryota; Metazoa; Arthropoda; Arachnida; Scorpiones; Buthidae. The record is from RNAcentral.